This 427-nucleotide ribosomal RNA is filed under the name uncultured bacterium. Its description in RNAcentral is "bacterial SSU rRNA". It matches the Rfam family "Bacterial small subunit ribosomal RNA", at positions 355 to 775 of the family's 1533-position model. The record is from RNAcentral.
UCGAGAAUUUUUCUCAAUGGGGGAAACCCUGAAGGAGCGACGCCGCGUGAAGGAUGAAGGUCUUCGGAUUGUAAACUUCUGUCAUUAGGGAACAAGGUGCGCGUGUUAAUUGCGCGCGUAUUGAUAGUACCUGAAGAGGAAGAGACGGCUAACUCUGUGCCAGCAGCCGCGGUAAUACAGAGGUCUCAAGCGUUGUUCGGAUUCAUUGGGCGUAAAGGGUGCGUAGGUGGCGAGGCAAGUUGGAUGUGAAAUCUCGGGGCUCAACCCCGAAACUGCAUUCAAUACUGCUUUGCUUGAGUACUGGAGAGGAGAUUGGAAUUUACGGUGUAGCAGUGAAAUGCGUAGAUAUCGUAAGGAAGACCAGUGGCGAAGGCGGAUCUCUGGACAGUUACUGACACUGAGGCACGAAGGCCAGGGGAGCAAACGG